This 688-nucleotide small RNA is filed under the name Pongo abelii (Sumatran orangutan). RNAcentral describes it as "retained intron". Lineage: Eukaryota; Metazoa; Chordata; Mammalia; Primates; Hominidae. The record is from RNAcentral.
AGACUUGCACAGGGUGAAAGCUUUGCUUCUCUGCUGUUGUAACAGGGACUAGCACAGACACACGGAUGAGUGGGGUCAUUUCCAGGUAUUAGGUCACAGCAGAAGCAGCCAAAAUGGAUCCCCAGUGCACUAUGGGACUGAGUAACACUCUCUUUGUGAUGGCCUUCCUGCUCUCUGGUAAGAACCUUUCAGCUUUGUUAAGUCCUGGAAUCCUACUGUCUCCUGAUGAGUCUGACCACAGCAAGCCCAGGCCUGAGACUUGGUGGGUUUUACUCACUUUCUACUGAGCAUUGUACAAGACCACAUGCAAAAAAGACUUUCCUGGAGAAGAAGGAAGUGUUAUGAUUGAGAGCAGCUGAUGGCAGGCAGCUGGGAUGGAGCUCUCCCCCUGUGUGCUUCUUCCUCCUCUGCAGUCUCACAUCAGUGAGCCUAGAUGCUCAGAGUAGGGUAGCCUGGCCUAUCCCAUGGGGAUGGGGGAAGGCUGCUGCACUGAGGCUCCUGAGACUUGACUCUUUUGUUCCACACAUAUUCUCUUCUGAUCUUCGCUGACCCUGUUUCUGUCUUUCUCAGGCUCCUAGGAAACAACUGAUAGAAUUCCAAAAGUCUCCCUUCAUACGGAGCACUGGCUUUCACGUCCCUGACUUCCCUACCCUCUCUCACUCCCUUCCCUAUAGCCCAUGCACAUAUA